Molecule: long non-coding RNA, 643 nt
Organism: Rhipicephalus sanguineus (brown dog tick)
Lineage: Eukaryota; Metazoa; Arthropoda; Arachnida; Ixodida; Ixodidae
Exons: 3
Source: RefSeq, a predicted model, not a curated record
CCUCACGGUAAACUUGACAGCUGAAGCAGAGCAACAUGUUAGGAAACGUAACAGUUCACGUCAGGUAAUUGAGAGCUGGGGCUUUACCGCUAACUAUUCAUACUGGACUGAGAAUGUGACAUACCGACCGAAAUCUCUACAUCCUAUACACGCUGUGACCGGAGAAGUCAAAUGCGUGGACGAUAUCAUUAAUUUUAUACCGGAAGGUGAUAUAAAGGAAGUUGAUUGCACGGAGCAAUACAGCUUGACUAUCAACAGUGGCAUAGGAACCCCGUUCACCCUGAAUACAGAAGUUAACUUUCCUGUUAUCAGGAAGCGAGAAAACAAAACCUCCCAGUUUGAAGACCUAAACUAUCAAGCUGAAAUUACAAGAACCUACAAACCGACGAAAGGGGCGCUUGUUGUGGACAUCUGCAACUUCGAAGUGAAAGUGUCCUUCAAUGGAUCGUUCGCUUAUUAUGUUAAGGGAAAUGAUACGAAACAAGGGUUUUACGUGCCCGUACCUUGGACGGAUCUGGCCAACUCAUCGAAAGGUCUGUUUUAUAACUGGAAUGGUAUCCUGGAAUACAAAGUAACGGGAACCUAUCUCGAGAUAACUUGUUCCUAGAAAUAAUGGGUGCGCAAAUAAAGGAUUCGCUUUCAA